Molecule: long non-coding RNA, 230 nt
Filed under: Lathyrus oleraceus (garden pea)
Lineage: Eukaryota; Viridiplantae; Streptophyta; Magnoliopsida; Fabales; Fabaceae
Description: Pisum sativum (pea) long non-coding RNA (PSAT_LNC007214)
Source: RNAcentral
AGUACCUAGGAUGUUUUGGGUGCCUAACACCUUCCCAUUGCAUAACCAACCCCCUUACCCAGAUCUCUGUUUCUUUUACUAGUUUUAUUUGUAAAACUUUUAGGUUUUUGUUCGCUUUUGGAGUACCUAGGAUGUUUUGGGUGCCUAACACCUUCCCAUUGCAUAACCAACCCCCUUACCCAGAUCUCUGUUUCUUUUACUAGUUUUAUUUGUAAAACUUUUAGGUUUUU